ACGAUACGGACGAAAGUUCCGCCCCCGUCCUGGUGGCGACCCGUUUGGGCGAGAGGGUCGGCAGCGACGACACUGCCGCCGACGGUCCCGAGGAUGUGCAGCCUCGCGAGGAAAAGCCUGCU
This 122-nucleotide non-coding RNA is filed under the name Neobodo designis. Lineage: Eukaryota; Euglenozoa; Kinetoplastea; Neobodonida; Neobodonidae. The record is from RNAcentral.